Anas platyrhynchos (mallard) is the source of this 1700-nucleotide long non-coding RNA. RefSeq lists it as uncharacterized. The record is from RefSeq and is a predicted model, not a curated record. NCBI's taxonomy places the organism in Eukaryota, Metazoa, Chordata, Aves, Anseriformes, Anatidae.
GCUGUGUCAUUUGGGUUGUUAAAGUAACCUGAAAGAAGUUACACCUGCACUGAAAUUUCUGUAUCCAGAAAUUCAAGGCAGGUGAGUGUUAAAGCAAACCAGUCCACGCUGCUUGUGUCUCUUGCUGCCUCCAACAUCAAGGUUAUUGCGAUCUGAUAAUACUGCCCGGGCAUUUGUUUAGCAGACCUGGCAGAAGAGAGCAAGUCAGAAGAUCUACGCGAAGAUAAGUUCUGCAGCUCCUUACAUUCACUGUGUUGUGGAUGUAGAAAAUCACUGAUCUAUCUUUUUUUGCCUUUUACGUUCUUCUUCUGUCAAUUGCACACCUACUGCACCCCUCCUGUUUGCAGCGUGGCAUCUCUAAAAAGAUGUCAUUGGUUAACUUCAGUGAGAGAUGCACACAAAGACUUCUGUUGGAAGCACUUUUUGAUGAGAGGAAGUGGCACCAUAUGUGUUUUUUAGAGUCCUAAUUAGGGUUAGGCUUAGUGUUCCAGUUAGGGUUACAUUUAGGGUUGUUUGGAAAGAGAGAAGGUGCGGAGUCCUCUCACCUGCUGCCUGACUGCAGCCAUCAUCGCAGGGUCUCCAUCCCAUCAGGUACCAGAGCAGCUGUUUGUCCUGCUCCAGAGGUGUUUAACUCCAUCACACAGGUUAAUUCCAGCACCUUAACUCAAUCACCUUCCUAAAUGAUUUCAGUACCUUGACAAACCGUGGCUGCUUCCCCAUCAGCUGUUCCACCUGUGCAUCUCCAGGGCGCAGAAUUGCCCCUAGCAGCAUGUUUCAUGAAGCUGUGUGGCACAGGGAACAAGCUCACAUCCAUGCUGGCACCAGCCUAGAGCCUCCCCCUCCAAGUCCCCUGGGAAACAACGAGUGGAAGAGAUGAUGGGAUUCUCCAGAGUUUAUUAUUUAAAAAAAAGCACAACAUGUGGAUGACUUAAGGGAACAAACAAUCUGUUAAGAUGUUUAGAGCUGCAAACAACUGCUUGGAGAAGGCCCUGAAGGCAGGAGGAGCUCUGCCAGAAGUGCUGCAGUCAGGCAGCUGAGCAGAGCUGAGCUCAGAACAUCUCAGCCCGCACGCAGCAAAGCCCCGGGAGCCUCAAUCCUUCAGGUUUCACCACGGCUGUUCCGCAGCACAACACACCAACAGUGUCCCUGCCCUUACGCUCUGGAAGGAGGCUCGAGGGGCUCAGAGCACAAAGAAACAGGCAGUGGUGUGAAAAUCAAAAGGAACAGUGAGAAAAGAUGGGACAGAGGAACGCAUUCAGGUGGGUGGCUCUGAGGUUGUCCUGCAGCAGGUCCUAACAUCGCCUCCCGACGCUCACAGGAGCCUGGCUGAGUCCUCGGAGCCUCUUCCUCCUCCAGAGGCCACUUGCACCCUGCAGGCAGGGGACACAUGAAGUGAGGAGGGUCACCGAGCUGGGUCAGCAGCCCCUGCACUGAUCCCACGGCAGCUCAGUUCUUUAAAACCCUUUGGUGAGGAAUCUCGCAGAUGCAGGUGAGGACAGGGAUCACAUCACCCCACAGUGACCAGCACACCUCUCCCCAUGGCCAGAAGCGUGCAUCCUGCGCCAGGCAAGGACAGGAACAGGGCCCAGCUUCUGCCUUCCAUCAGAAAAUCACCUUGAGCCUGGGGUUUUAGGAUGCCAUAGCAAGCAGAGCAGCUACACUAACUACUUAGUGCAGCAGACAGGAGGAAAAAAAAAAAA